UUCCCAGACUUCAGAUCUGUUAUACUGUGUACACGUCGUUUCGUAUUAUAUUCCAAGCACUAUUGGCGACCCAUGCAUCGUACGUUGACAGUGGCGCACGUUCCUAGAUGUGUGUGUCUAAUAUGUAUACGACAAUAUAUGUAUAUCGCCUACUAUGUAGCCGUUCGGAACAUCUCUCGCUCGCACGCAUUUCUCACACAGUCAUACGCAUUCUUUUCUGUCAUCUUCAAGCAGAGGCUACGCGAGCGUUGAAGCUGCAUUGCGUGGCUGCGUAUAAAAUGACAUAUACAUUUGCAUUGUACGCAUAACGCUCGUGUAGCCCCGGCCUAAGUCCAAGUCUAGUUAUUUAGGUUGACGAGCGAAAUGCAUACGGUGUUCCAUUAUGACUUCUUGCUUGUUAUAUUAUGAUUGAGGAGAUAAAAAUUAAUGAAUCACCGUGUGCGUGAACGCAAAUAGAAACCGAAUAAAGGAUAAACAAAUAACGGAGAAAGUGCACACGUCAUUGGCUAUCCGAUAAAUAGUCGUUUCCUAAAAAAACUCUUUUUUAGUCUCUAGCGCGGUUACUUACCGGACAAUUAUUGUAUUUCUACAACGGUCGUCGGUUUAAAGUUUUAUCCCAGUGUCUCUAGUGUCUAAAUUAACGAACAUGAUACAUGUAACUGAUCUUAUACAAAAUAAUAUAAUGGCUGCGACGAUAUAACAUUGCAACGUCCGUCGUAACGUCCGUCGUUUCUACACUCGUGUAAUACCAGCCUAAAUUAAACAAAUAAAUGCUAAAAAAGAUGUAAUCUUCUCUUUUUGUUUCCGGCAGAUUUCCUCUUUCUGUUUCACAUCUACUUCCAUGAAUUUUCUAUUUUUAUUUUAUAUAUAUCAUAUUUUCCACGUUUCAGUCCUAGUUUGAUGCCUCCCGAUUUCCAUUUAUUCCCCUCACUUUAUUUAUUUCCACACUGUGUGCAAGAGAUCACGUGCAGUGGGACUGUGAUUCUGGCACCAUGCACAUCAUAAAUUUAUACCAUGCCUUAAGGAGAUCUUACGGGCCGCGAUCUCAGGAAGAAUCUUUUUCGACUACGAAGCCAGUCUUUGCCUACUCUCGCGAAUGAAGUAAUACUAUUCCACUCUCAAAUUUCGAGUUUCCUUUAUCAUUUUUACCAGUUUUCAACCUACUUUAUAUUUUACUUGUAUAACACGGUUUUUUACGACGCUGUGGCAAAUUUUAUAAAAUGAUGCACUUGUUAUUUACAGGAAAAUAAAUAAGCAAAGACAUGUAUUAUAUGCAAAUUGUUGUAUUUCUCUUUGAACUCGAAAUGCGCAUCUGUCAUUGUUGCACACCACCGCCCUCUCUGUCUAGAAUCGUUCAUAUAGGCUGUCCUUGUCGCACAAUCUUGCGUUCUUUGCGUACGGAUAAAUCAUGUAAUGCCAUCUAUCCUCACAUGCUCCAAGUCGCUGUUCCUCCCGCCUUCAAUAGAUAUCAGAACAUGGUUUGUCAGUAGACAAAAAGCACAAGGUUGUGCGACAAGCAUAAACGAUAUUGCCAUCUAUCUUUACAUGCUGCAGUCGCUGUUCCUUUCGCUUUUAUAGAUAUCAGCACAUGCUUUGUCCGUGGGACAAGGAAUACAUUAGUAUGUCAGAUAAAAGGUGCCAUACUGUGCAACAAGGACAGAUGUAUAUCUUCUGUUAGAUGAAGACAGCAAUAGUGUACGACAAGGACAUACAAUACGAGCGAUACUAGACGAGAAGGUUUUGCAAUUCUUAAUGUUAUCAUUGUAUUAUAUCAGUAUGUUUCGCAGCAUUUAAGAUUUGUAACAACUGUAUUAUUUGUACAUACCUUGUUAUUGAAUAUAAACUUUUAAAUACAAAUUCUCAUUAAUAUUUAAAUUUCUUUUUGCCAUUAAACAAGUAAAAAAAACAAUACAAAACUAUUAAUUUAUUCCUGGCGAAUUUGUGUUACGGAGACGAUCACUGCCCGCAACUUUUAGACGUUGCAGCAGUGAGGGCAACCGCAGGAUGUUGAAAGCCAUUCAUUCGUGACAAAUUUAGGCUUCGAGGAUUUUUGUAUAGACGAUCCAGCAUACGACAUAAAUUUUAAACGACGCCCUGCCGUGCUACGCGCCUAUUACAAGGCAACCAUCCACGCAGCCUACAUUUUUCUUCCAUCUCACUCAUGUAAAUAUGUAUAUAUACACAUACAUAGUUUUAAGGCGGAUUGUAAACGGAUUUGUAAACGUAAUUUACAAGAAUUUCAUUAUAAAAGUUAUUUUUAAAUAGAAUUGAAUAAGAAUGUCAUAAGACGUGUAGAGUUAUUUAAUUAAGAUAUAUUAAUAUUCGUAAUAGAAUUAUAUAAUUUAUAUAAUUUCUACACUGUACAUUACUGAAAGGUUUCAAUAAACGUUUAAUUAAAGUUAA
Long non-coding RNA from Bombus impatiens (common eastern bumble bee), 2403 nucleotides. RefSeq lists it as uncharacterized. Lineage: Eukaryota; Metazoa; Arthropoda; Insecta; Hymenoptera; Apidae. The record is from RefSeq and is a predicted model, not a curated record. The transcript is spliced from 2 exons.